Long non-coding RNA from Glossina fuscipes, 903 nucleotides. RefSeq lists it as uncharacterized. The record is from RefSeq and is a predicted model, not a curated record. Lineage: Eukaryota; Metazoa; Arthropoda; Insecta; Diptera; Glossinidae. The transcript is spliced from 3 exons.
UCGCUUCUCUUAGGGUAAGAGCAAGAGUAAGGUGAAUUGUUGUGUGCUUAGGUGCAGAACAAAGCCAAAGAUAAGAACAAUUAGUUCAUCAAACAACUUUCUUAAGAGGACUGCGCAAAUUUGUCAGCGUUCCAGCCCUCUCAUCUUAGAGGAGCCUGCAUUUCGCACGAUAGCCGAAAGCCGCCUGUCUUGUCAUUCUUCAACACAACUGUCCGCCCGUGGGAUAACUAAUUAGCGUUUGUUUUUGGCGCCAGUCCAGAUGCCUCCACUUUCAUAGCGAAUGUGCACAACUACUUCUUUCGAAAGAAGAAUCUUUCUCCACUAUCACCAUACCCCUACGUGUAUGAGACAUUCCGCGAUUGGCCGAUCAAAAGGAAAAAAUUAUUCGAUAAUAGAAGAUGAUACGUCUGAUGCAAAUAUUAUGAUGAAAGUACUUUCUACUACACCCUCCCGCGUUCGCUUAAGACAAUUAACAAUUUCAUUUUAUUGAGAAGUGAAGAAUUUUCACUUUACAGAAGUGUGCCAAGGAAAACUAAGACAAAGUGAACAUUUUGUUGCAAAAGCUCACCGACUUUCAGCCGUCUCUCUAAUUUCUUACCUUUUGUUACUUAUUUAAUUUUCUACGUCUGCUACGGCUAGAUACAUGAAAAAUGAAGUCCUUGUAGUAAUUUAUACGAGCAUACAUAAAAUUAUUGUAGCUUGGGAUGAAGUGGGAAAAAAAAAUUGGAAAAAAUUAUAGAAGCAGCUAAAUGACAGUAACAAUAGCCAACCAGUAGAAUAACUUGAACUGCUUAGAGGCAUAAGCUACUACCAUACGACUGCAGCAGCCAGAAUCGCAGACUUGCAGAACUUUACAACACGAUUGACUGGCUGCACAAGGCAGCAACUGAAAUGACUUCGAAG